RNAcentral lists this ribosomal RNA (305 nucleotides) under uncultured bacterium. Its description in RNAcentral is "bacterial SSU rRNA". It matches the Rfam family "Bacterial small subunit ribosomal RNA", at positions 333 to 631 of the family's 1533-position model. The record is from RNAcentral.
CCUGUCCUACGGGGGGCAGCAGUAGGGAAUUUUCGUCAAUGGGCGCAAGCCUGAACAAGCAAUGCCGCGUGAACGAGGAAGGUCUUCGGAUCGUAAAGUUCUGUUGAAGGGGAAAAAGAGCGGAGAGAGGAAAUGAACUCCGAUUGACAUUACCCUUCGAGGAAGUCACGGCCAACUACGUGCCAGCAGCCGCGGUAAUACGUAGGUGGCGAGCGUUAUCCGGAAUGAUUGGGCGUAAAGGGUGCGUAGGCGGCCUGCUAAGUCUGGAGUGAAAGGUACCGGCUCAACCGGUACAGGCUCUGGAA